ACUACUGUCUAGUAUAAGCAAUUAUACAGCGAAACUGCGAAUGGCUCAUUAUAUAAGUUAUCGUUUAUUUGAUAGUACCUUACUACUUGGAUAACCGUGGUAAUUCUAGAGCUAAUACAUGCUAAAAAUCCCGACUUCGGAAGGGAUGUAUUUAUUAGAUUAAAAACCAAUGCCCUUCGGGGCUCACUGGUGAUUCAUGAUAACUCCUCGAAUCGCAUGGCCUUGUGCCGGCGAUGGUUCAUUCAAAUUUCUUCCCUAUCAACUUUCGAUGUUUGGGUAUUGGCCAAACAUGGUUGCAACGGGUAACGGAGGGUUAGGGCUCGACCCCGGAGAAGGAGCCUGAGAAACGGCUACUACAUCCAAGGAAGGCAGCAGGCGCGCAAAUUACCCAAUCCCGACACGGGGAGGUAGUGACAAUAAAUACUGAUACAGGGCUCUUUUGGGUCUUGUAAUUGGAAUGAGUACAAUUUAAAUCCCUUAACGAGGAACAAUUGGAGGGCAAGUCUGGUGCCAGCAGCCGCGGUAAUUCCAGCUCCAAUAGCGUAUAUUAAAGUUGUUGUGGUUAAAAAGCUCGUAGUUGAACCUUGGGCCUGGCUGGCCGGUCCGCCUCACCGCGUGUACUGGUCCGGCCGGGCCUUUCCCUCUGUGGAACCCCAUGCCCUUCACUGGGUGUGGCGGGGAAACAGGACUUUUACUGUGAAAAAAUUAGAGUGCUCCAGGCAGGCCUAUGCUCGAAUACAUUAGCAUGGAAUAAUAGAAUAGGACGUGUGGUUCUAUUUUGUUGGUUUCUAGGACCGCCGUAAUGAUUAAUAGGGACAGUCGGGGGCAUCAGUAUUCAAUUGUCAGAGGUGAAAUUCUUGGAUUUAUUGAAGACUAACUACUGCGAAAGCAUUUGCCAAGGAUGUUUUCAUUAAUCAGGAACGAAAGUUAGGGGAUCGAAGACGAUCAGAUACCGUCGUAGUCUUAACCAUAAACUAUGCCGACUAGGGAUCGGACGGGGUAUUUUUUGACCCGUUCGGAACUUACAAGAAUCAAAGGGUUGGGUCCAGGGGAGUUGCCAUAGUAAAA
Molecule: ribosomal RNA, 1068 nt
Filed under: Fusarium proliferatum
Lineage: Eukaryota; Fungi; Ascomycota; Sordariomycetes; Hypocreales; Nectriaceae
Description: SSU rRNA
Rfam family: Eukaryotic small subunit ribosomal RNA
Source: RNAcentral